UUACUUUCUAUCUUCCAUCAGACUGGGCUCUGGUUUGAAAGGGAUGGUCACAGUUAAGAUCCAAAAGGGGACUGGUACUACAUUCUUCUGGAGUUUUAGGUAGGCAAAGAGUUGACUUCACCACCUCUGGAAAAGGGCAAAUCCAACACCUAACCAAUCAGUUCUGCACUGUCAAAAACUUUACAAUUCAAAAUAAAGUCUUGCUACCCAGUUUUAUAUCUGAACCACCUACACCACCAGAAGGGGGACCACAAGAAAGGAAGGAGCCAGAAAACAAAAGACUACCAAGAAUGCCCAUGGACAAAUUGCGAACAAUGACAGACUGGUUGACUCAUCAGUUCAGGGCUAAGUGAAUUGUGGGAACUGAACUCAAACUAUCCCUCCCCAGUGGGCAGAGCCAAAUGGCCCCAUCCCACUGAGGCUGGGUUGGCCAUGUGACUUGCUCUGGCCAGUGGAGUAUUAGCACAUGUGACGCAUGCAGAAGCAUAAACUGUGUUUGUGUGAUUAGGCUUGCCUUCUUGUGCUUUUGUCAUCGUCACUGAGAACUUCUGGACAACUUCUGCAGUCUAGUCCAAGUCCGAAGAACACAGAUGGAGCAGACCCGAGCUCAACUCAUGGCAAGUAGUCAAGCUCAGCCAGAUCUCCAGCUUGAAGCAGUCACCCAGCCAAGCCUGUCAGCCAACCUGCAAAAGCAUGAGUGAGAACGAUUAUUUUAAGUUGAGCAGAUUUGGGGCAGCAAUAGCAACUGAAACCUAAGUAUAUGUCUUUCCAUGAUGAGAUGAGAACUCCUAGAGGAUACCACCAUGCUUUCUAGGUUCUUUCUGCCCAUCCCCACCCUCAAGUAUAUGGCAGGCAAGCAAUAAAUAUUUGUUGAGUGAAUAUUUGAAAAACCCCAUUAGGCUCAUCUAAAUCCUAAAACAGCUUUUGUGAGAAGUCAAGUUUUUAAAGAAGGGUAAAAACUAGUCUGGAUACUAAUUAGCCAUUAAAAGAUAAAGAAGUUUGAAAAAAAAAGUUUGCAUGUAAAAAUGAAAGACACUUGAUUUAUUGCAUUAAAAAACUUUAUUUCAUUUAAAAGGUCCAAUAUAAGCCAAAUUAAACCCCAAAUUGACAGCUACACUUAGAGAUCUCCUGAACUAAAUGGCACUGUUUGAGAUGAGUGUCUUGUUAAAGGAAGUCAUUUGCUACUACCACCAUUUCCCCCAAAGUAGUUCUAGAGCAGAAGCUGGUUUUACUAUAAUACACAUCAGAUAUUUCAGAUGUCAUCUUCCAUGCAGAAGUUAAAAAAGCAAACAGGCUCUUCUAUUCUGUAUGAGGAUAAACACCACUUCAGAGCAGGGCCUGAAUGCUUUUAACAUACAAGGUGUAACUGUAAAGGAACUUACUGUGGCCCUGUGUUCAUUCACUGAAGCUGUCCAUGUAUGUACUCCAACCAUACUAGUGCUGCUCAAAUACUAUUUGGACCAGUAGCUUGGGAUUUCCCCUCAUUAGGUUCAGACCAAAGAA
Neofelis nebulosa (Clouded leopard) is the source of this 1503-nucleotide long non-coding RNA. RefSeq lists it as uncharacterized. Lineage: Eukaryota; Metazoa; Chordata; Mammalia; Carnivora; Felidae. The transcript is spliced from 2 exons. The record is from RefSeq and is a predicted model, not a curated record.